Molecule: long non-coding RNA, 995 nt
Organism: Drosophila rhopaloa
Lineage: Eukaryota; Metazoa; Arthropoda; Insecta; Diptera; Drosophilidae
Exons: 3
Source: RefSeq, a predicted model, not a curated record
UUCUCCGCGUAACAGCUUUCUACAUCUCGAAAGCGGCUGACUUUGAAAUAGUUCGGUAUAGUUCUUGUCUUUUUAACCCAGUAAAAAUCAAAAGCGGAAAUUUUCGAUUGCGAAUACUUUGAUACAGUAGAGAUAUAGCAUAUUUGAAGGCUGAUCUAUUCCAACGCAUACGUUAAACUGGUACUUCCUGUCCAUCUGUCUAGAUGAAAUAACUUCAGUCAGGUGCCGGUCGCAUUCAGGGAGUCAUUUAACAUCACUUAAGAUCAAGUGUCUCCAAGCAAGUGAUAGCUUAUGACGAGUGUUGUGAUUGACUGAAGGAGGAAUUUUCCCGGGCCUAUUCCUAUUUGAAAAUCAUCCUCCACGAGAUUUUGAGGUUGAUCGUGAAAAGGACGCUUAAAUCUUUGAAAAGAUACUCAGAGGGAUUUUUAUAACAAGAGGCGGUCAUCUAAGCCAACUUCGUUCAAACUUAUUGGCCAGAAUCGCUGAAUCUGCUGUGGAAAUUGCUGCGUCGCUAAACCAUGCAGCGCAAACUUCAAACACCCCGAAUCUGAAUCAUAUUCAGGCAGGGAAUGACCCGGAAAAGCACCUCAUUCAGUCCAUCGUUGCACUCGUCAUUGGUCAUCAUUUGAAUGCAGGCACAUGAUCUCAAACGAUUUUCUACCGGCUCUUUGGAUUCGACCGGCAGCUCACUGAAGUUAUAUCCACCAGUCAGGUGAUCAGGAAAUACUAGUUAUCGUAUAUGUCGGAAUCGCCCAGGCUUUAAUUAUGCGAUAUAUCCACUGUAUCGAAGUGCUCGCAGUCGGGAAUAUCCGCAUUUAAUUGUUGCAGGAGCAAUGGAGUAGAAUUGUACCAAAAUAUCUCUAAGAUGGCUACUUUUAAGAUGUAGUAACCUGCUACACGGAGAGCCAAACUCGACUGACUCAGAAUUAAAAAAAAAUUUUAAAUAUAAAAUAAAAAAAAAUCAAUGUAUAAAUUCAAUCGGAUUAUGUAAAAGA